AAUCCAUAGGUUAAUGAGGCGAACCGGGGGAACUGAAACAUCUAAGUACCCCGAGGAAAAGAAAUCAACCGAGAUUCCCCCAGUAGCGGCGAGCGAACGGGGAGGAGCCCAGAGCCUGAAUCAGCAUGUGUGUUAGUGGAAGCGUCUGGAAAGGCGCGCGAUACAGGGUGACAGCCCCGUACACAAAAGCGCAUGUGCUGUGAGCUCGAUGAGUAGGGCGGGACACGUGGUAUCCUGUCUGAAUAUGGGGGGACCAUCCUCCAAGGCUAAAUACUCCUGACUGACCGAUAGUGAACCAGUACCGUGAGGGAAAGGCGAAAAGAACCCCGGCGAGGGGAGUGAAAAAGAACCUGAAACCGUGUACGUACAAGCAGUGGGAGCCCCACCACCAAAGCAUUUGCUGUACCGCGUUGACGGAGCGAAGCGACGUCAAACCGAUAAAACAGCAGUGUAAAGUGAGCCGCAGGGCGCUUUGCGCGACAGCGCAAA
Molecule: ribosomal RNA, 489 nt
Filed under: Salmonella enterica subsp. enterica serovar Enteritidis
Lineage: Bacteria; Pseudomonadati; Pseudomonadota; Gammaproteobacteria; Enterobacterales; Enterobacteriaceae
Description: partial 23S ribosomal RNA
Rfam family: Bacterial large subunit ribosomal RNA (bases 1-366)
Source: RNAcentral